RNAcentral lists this ribosomal RNA (510 nucleotides) under uncultured bacterium. RNAcentral describes it as "partial 16S ribosomal RNA". It matches the Rfam family "Bacterial small subunit ribosomal RNA", at positions 28 to 505 of the family's 1533-position model. The record is from RNAcentral.
GAUGAACGCUGGCGGCGUGCCUAAUACAUGCAAGUCGAACGAAACUUCUUUAUCACCGAGUGCUUGCACUCACCGAUAAAGAGUUGAGUGGCGAACGGGUGAGUAACACGUGGGCAACCUGCCCAAAAGAGGGGGAUAACACUUGGAAACAGGUGCUAAUACCGCAUAACCAUAGUUACCGCAUGGUAACUAUGUAAAAGGUGGCUAUACUACCGCUUUUGGAUGGGCCCGCGGCGCAUUAGCUAGUUGGUAGGGUAAAGGCUUACCAAGGCAAUGAUGCGUAGCCGAAUUGAGAGGGUGAUCGGCCACAUUGGGACUGAGACACGGCCCAAACUCCUACGGGAGGCAGCAGUAGGGAAUCUUCCACAAUGGGCGAAAGCCUGAUGGAGCAACGCCGCGUGGGUGAAGAAGGUCUUCGGAUCGUAAAACCCUGUUGUUAGAGAAGAAAGUGCGUGAGAGUAACUGUUCACGUUUCGACGGUAUCUAACCAGAAAGCCACGGCUAACUACG